Molecule: long non-coding RNA, 230 nt
Filed under: Elaeis guineensis (African oil palm)
Lineage: Eukaryota; Viridiplantae; Streptophyta; Magnoliopsida; Arecales; Arecaceae
Description: long non-coding RNA (EGUI_LNC033660)
Source: RNAcentral
GCAGGCAACUACAUCUCAGCUCAUGGCUGACAUCACAAUUACUACAUUUUACAUAUGCUGGCUAGUCCAGAUACCCUUCAAUUAGACAUAGUUUAUCAUUUUGAUUUGAUUUCGAUAUUGGACUAUUUAUAAUCAUGCUCGAGCCCAUAACAGGCCAAAACAUCUUAGUCUGUAGUUGAUAUGCCACAUUUCACAUACACAUGGCCGACUAGUCCACAUGCUCCAUGCUU